AUCAAACCUUUUCUUUUCCUAAAUAGUUCUAAUGAAUAAAGGCAACUGAUGUUAUAUGUAAAAACAAGUUCAUUUUUCUGAUAAUAAAGCUGUCAGCUGAGUGCAGAUUUCUGUCCCAUCUCUCCAUUUUGUGGCUGGUCUCAGUCCUGUGAUCCAGCUCUGGCUGGAUCUCUCUGAAGUCUAUUCAUGGCAUUUCCUGCUUUCUUGUGGAUCCUCUGCAGUCUUUGUCCAAGUUUGAUUUCAUUCUGUGGAUUGAAAUGUAUGAUCCAGGUAUAUGCCGCUGAAAAACUGUCUUUAAAGUUAUAUU
RNAcentral lists this long non-coding RNA (307 nucleotides) under Bos taurus (domestic cattle). RNAcentral's name for it is "long non-coding RNA NONBTAT025040". Lineage: Eukaryota; Metazoa; Chordata; Mammalia; Artiodactyla; Bovidae. The record is from RNAcentral.